UACGGAGGAUGCAAGCGUUAUCCGGGGUUUAUUGGGUUUAAAGGGUGCGUAGGCGGAUAUGUAAGUCAGCGGUGAAACUCACAGGCUCAACCUGUGCCGUGCCGUUGAAACUGUGUAUCUGGAAUGCGGAUGCUGUGGGAGGAAUGUGUAGUGUAGCGGUGAAAUGCAUAGAUAUUACACAGAACACCGAUUGCGAAGGCAUCUCACAAAGCCGUUAUUGACGCUGAGGCACGAAAGUGUGGGGAGUCAAACA
This 253-nucleotide ribosomal RNA is filed under the name uncultured prokaryote. Its description in RNAcentral is "partial 16S ribosomal RNA". It matches the Rfam family "Bacterial small subunit ribosomal RNA", at positions 524 to 775 of the family's 1533-position model. The record is from RNAcentral.